Molecule: ribosomal RNA, 464 nt
Filed under: uncultured bacterium
Lineage: Bacteria
Description: partial 16S ribosomal RNA
Rfam family: Bacterial small subunit ribosomal RNA
Source: RNAcentral
CUACGGGGUGCUCCAGUGGGGAAUAUUGCACAAUGGGCGCAAGCCUGAUGCAGCCAUGCCGCGUGUAUGAAGAAGGCCUUCGGGUUGUAAAGUACUUUCAGCGGGGAGGAAGGGAGUAAAGUUAAUACCUUUGCUCAUUGACGUUACCCGCAGAAGAAGCACCGGCUAACUCCGUGCCAGCGGCCGCGGUAAUACGGAGGGUGCAAGCGUUAAUCGGAAUUACUGGGCGUAAAGCGCACGCAGGCGGUUUGUUAAGUCAGAUGUGAAAUCCCCGGGCUCAACCUGGGAACUGCAUCUGAUACUGGCAAGCUUGAGUCUCGGAGAGGGGGGUAGAAUUGCAGGUGUAGCGGUGAAAUGCGUAGAGAUCUGGAGGAAUACCGGUGGCGAAGGCGGCCCCCUGGACGAAGACUGACGCUCAGGUGCGAAAGCGUGGGGAGCAAACAGGAUUAGAUACCCCGGUAGUC